This 507-nucleotide ribosomal RNA is filed under the name uncultured bacterium. RNAcentral's name for it is "partial 16S ribosomal RNA". It matches the Rfam family "Bacterial small subunit ribosomal RNA", at positions 28 to 507 of the family's 1533-position model. The record is from RNAcentral.
GACGAACGCUGGCGGCGUGCCUAAUACAUGCAAGUCGAACGCAUUUUCUUUCACCGUAGCUUGCUACACCGAAAGAAAGUGAGUGGCGAACGGGUGAGUAACACGUGUGUAACCUGCCCAUCAGCGGGGGAUAACACUUGAAAACAGGUGCUAAUACCGCAUAAUUCUAUUUACCGCAUGGUAUAUGUAUGAAAGGGGCUUUUUCGUCACUGAUCGAUGGAGCCGCGGUGCAUUAGAAAGUUGGUGGGGUGAGGGACUACCAAGGCUGCGAUGCAUAGCGGACCGUAGGGGGGUAUCGGCCACACUGGGACUGGGACAAGGCCCAGACUUCUACGGGAGGCAGCAGUAGGGAAACUUCGGAAAUGGACGCAAGUCUGAACGAGCAACGCCGCGUGAGUGAAGAAGGUUUUCGGAUUGUAAAACUCUGUUGUUAGAGAAGAAAAAGGAUGAGAGUGGAAAGUUCAUCCCUUGACGGUACCUAAACAGAAAGCCACGGCUAACUACGUG